This 464-nucleotide ribosomal RNA is filed under the name uncultured bacterium. RNAcentral's name for it is "partial 16S ribosomal RNA". It matches the Rfam family "Bacterial small subunit ribosomal RNA", at positions 339 to 795 of the family's 1533-position model. The record is from RNAcentral.
CUACGGGCUGCUCCAGUGGGGAAUAUUGCACAAUGGGCGCAAGCCUGAUGCAGCCAUGCCGCGUGUAUGAAGAAGGCCUUCGGGUUGUAAAGUACUUUCAGCGGGGAGGAAGGGAGUAAAGUUAAUACCUUUGCUCAUUGACGUUACCCGCAGAAGAAGCACCGGCUAACUCCGUGCCAGCAGCCGCGGUAAUACGGAGUGUGCAAGCGUUAAUCGGAAUUACUGGGCGUAAAGCGCACGCAGGCGGUUUGUUAAGUCAGAUGUGAAAUCCCCGGGCUCAACCUGGGAACUGCAUCUGAUACUGGCAAGCUUGAGUCUCGUAGAGGGGGGUAGAAUUCCAGGUGUAGCGGUGAAAUGCGUAGAGAUCUGGAGGAAUACCGGUGGCGAAGGCGGCCCCCUGGACGAAGACUGACGCUCAGGUGCGAAAGCGUGGGGAGCAAACAGGAUUAGAUACCCGUGUAGUC